This 424-nucleotide ribosomal RNA is filed under the name uncultured Schlesneria sp. RNAcentral's name for it is "partial 16S ribosomal RNA". It matches the Rfam family "Bacterial small subunit ribosomal RNA", at positions 355 to 774 of the family's 1533-position model. The record is from RNAcentral. Lineage: Bacteria; Pseudomonadati; Planctomycetota; Planctomycetia; Planctomycetales; Planctomycetaceae.
UCGAGAAUCUUCGGCAAUGGACGAAAGUCUGACCGAGCGACGCCGCGUGCGGGAUGAAGGUCUUCGGAUUGUAAACCGCUGUCGGAGGGGAUGAAGUAUACGAGAGCUAUCUCUUGUAUUUGACAGAGCCUCGGAGGAAGCACGGGCUAAGUUCGUGCCAGCAGCCGCGGUAAUACGAACUGUGCGAACGUUAUUCGGAAUCACUGGGCUUAAAGGGUGCGUAGGCGGUUCUCUAAGUCACGUGUGAAAUCUUCUGGCUCAACCAGAAAACUGCGCGUGAAACUAGUAAACUUGAGUGAGGUAGGGGUGUGUGGAACUUCCGGUGGAGCGGUGAAAUGUGUAGAGAUCGGAAGGAACGCCAGCAGCGAAAGCGGCACACUGGGCCUUUUCUGACGCUGAGGCACGAAAGCUAGGGGAGUGAACG